This 498-nucleotide ribosomal RNA is filed under the name uncultured bacterium. RNAcentral describes it as "partial 16S ribosomal RNA". It matches the Rfam family "Bacterial small subunit ribosomal RNA", at positions 28 to 523 of the family's 1533-position model. The record is from RNAcentral.
GACGAACGCUGGCGGCGUGCCUAACACAUGCAAGUCGAGCGGAGUUGACAAGAGGAAGUUUUCGGAUGGAAUCUUGCCAGCUUAGCGGCGGACGGGUGAGUAACGCGUGAGCGACCAACCUUGCACAGGGGGAUAACGGACCGAAAGGUUCACUAAUACCGCAUGAGACCACGGUGUUGCAUGACACAGGGGUCAAAGGAGGAAUCCGGUGCAAGACGGGCUCGCGUCCGAUUAGGUAGUUGGAGGGGUAACGGCCCACCAAGCCUAUGAUCGGUCGGCAACCUGAGAGGGUGAUCGGCCACAUUGGAACUGAGAUACGGUCCAAACUCCUACGGGAGGCAGCAGUGGGGAAUAUUGGGCAAUGGGGGAAACCCUGACCCAGCAACGCCGCGUGAAGGAAGACGGUUUUCGGAUUGUAAACUUCUGUCCUUGGGGAAGAGAAGAAGACGGUAGUCAAGGAGGAAGCCCCGGCUAACUACGUGCCUGCCGCCGCGGUAA